Molecule: long non-coding RNA, 561 nt
Filed under: Rattus norvegicus (Norway rat)
Lineage: Eukaryota; Metazoa; Chordata; Mammalia; Rodentia; Muridae
Description: long non-coding RNA NONRATT020298
Source: RNAcentral
UCCUCUCUCUGGAUCUUUGCAGUGGGAUGCUUCUCGUUUUAUCCCAGUAACAGGAGUUUCUUCAAAACCACCCCUGCCUCUCACAGCAUGUUUUGACCUCCGAAGGGAGAAAACUGCAGCUGCAACCAGUCAACCAUAGCAGCCAAAGAGCAGGCGCCAGUAGCCCUCCUGGAAGCAGAAAUGGUUCUUGCACGCCUGCUUUGGUUUUUCAUGAUGUCAUCCAUUCAUCAUUGUGAGCUGACUGGCUGCCCCUCAGGCCUUGGCCAGGUGCCCAUGAUCAGAAGGGAAGAGACAGAUCCCAGGACAACUGUGCAGAGGGCCCCUGAGCAUGUGCAGACAUGAUGACAUCAGUUCCACCUAGAAAGACUUGGUGGAAAUCGAAGAAGACAGUAAAAGUCAGAAGGAGCAGAGACUGGAAAGAAAUCUAUAAGGCUUCCAACACCAUGGCCCUUGGGGUGACCUCCUCCGUACCUUGCCUUCCCCUUCCGAACAUCCUCCUUAUGGCCAGAGUCAUAUGGCAUCAGGGGCAGAGCCAGACAUGGAACAGACCGUCCACAGUGC